RNAcentral lists this long non-coding RNA (1116 nucleotides) under Homo sapiens (human). Its description in RNAcentral is "MIR663A host gene". The stretch from base 1 to 84 matches the Rfam family "mir-663 microRNA precursor family". Lineage: Eukaryota; Metazoa; Chordata; Mammalia; Primates; Hominidae. The record is from RNAcentral.
GGCGUCCCAGGCGGGGCGCCGCGGGACCGCCCUCGUGUCUGUGGCGGUGGGAUCCCGCGGCCGUGUUUUCCUGGUGGCCCGGCCAUGCCUGAGGUUUCUCCCUCAGCCGCCCCUCUGCGGGCUCCCAGACGGAAUGAAGUUGAUAAUAGUGAGACCUUGUUGGUACAAGACUAUGUAACAUAACCUGCGCUUCUCAACAAAGAAUUGCUUUUCUGACUUCUGCACUCAACUACUCAACAUGAAGGCAAUAAGAAUGAAGACCUCUAUGUAUAAUAAUUGACUUCCACUUAAUAAAUAAGGUUACUUGGUACACUGGUCGACAAAACCUUGAAAUGUUGAUGUUUAAGGGCUGUUGAUUGCUGGCAGCAAAGAAGUCCAACUGUGCUGGUACCCGAGAUAGCGUCUCCACAUUUUCUUCCAGGAUCAUCACCUUUGUUCUAAAUAGCUCCCACAUAGUGUGAACAGAAGUCAUAUGUUUUAGAUUUUCUGCCUUGGCACCCAGGAAACCAGUAUGAUUGAGUAAACAUAUUAAACUUCCUCUGCAUUUCCAGCCUGAACAGAUGUUGAGUACAAGCUGAUCCACCUACGUUCAACCUGAGAGAGUCCACAUCCACAGACUGUUUCAUUUCCCUUUUUCAAUUUACAUAGAAGCAUAGAUUCUUGCUGGCAUAUACAAAUGCGCCAUUUAAGGCAAUCAAAAAUGGUUCCACAUCUCAUCUGAUUUCCACAAUUGUUGCUGUAACGAUGGACUACUGAGGAGAGAGACAAUUUCUCUGGCACAUCUUCCCACAUUUUAGCAACAUGUUCAUGGAGAGCCAAUAUUCAGUAAUUACAGCCCAAUUCCUCACAAUUUCACAAUUCGCUAACAAUAUGCAUUUUCACAAUGUAAAGCUGAUUUUCCUUUAACCAAAUCAAACAUGAAAAGAUAGCUGCAUGCAAUGGGCAAUCUAGAUCAUUAGAAGAUUGAUGUAAAAUUAGAGGACACUGAGACUGGAAUAGAUUGCAAACUUCAGGGAGCUCAGAAAACUUGUAAACUCUACAUUUUGAGGAAAUAUGUUGUCGAUGCUUUUGCAACUCUAUGCAGUAACUUAACAAAUAAAGCCUUAAAGUAACUUA